This 375-nucleotide ribosomal RNA is filed under the name uncultured bacterium. RNAcentral's name for it is "bacterial SSU rRNA". It matches the Rfam family "Bacterial small subunit ribosomal RNA", at positions 521 to 896 of the family's 1533-position model. The record is from RNAcentral.
UAAUACGAAGGGGGCUAGCGUUGUUCGGAAUCACUGGGCGUAAAGGGCGCGUAGGCGGCUUGACAAGUCAGGUGUGAAAGCCCCGGGCUCAACCCGGGAAUUGCACUUGAUACUGUCUCGCUAGAGUCCGGGAGAGGAUGGCGGAAUUCCCAGUGUAGAGGUGAAAUUCGUAGAUAUUGGGAAGAACACCGGUGGCGAAGGCGGCCAUCUGGACCGGUACUGACGCUGAGGCGCGAAAGCGUGGGGAGCAAACAGGAUUAGAUACCCUGGUAGUCCACGCCGUAAACGAUGAGUGCUAGACGUCGGGGGGUUCACCUUCCGGUGUCGCAGCUAACGCUUUAAGCACUCCGCCUGGGGAGUACGGUCGCAAGAUUA